AGAGUUUGAUCCUGGCUCAGAGCGAACGCUGGCGGCAGGCUUAACACAUGCAAGUCGAGCGGGCGUAGCAAUACGUCAGCGGCAGACGGGUGAGUAACGCGUGGGAACGUACCUUUUGGUUCGGAACAACACAGGGAAACUUGUGCUAAUACCGGAUAAGCCCUUACGGGGAAAGAUUUAUCGCCGAAAGAUCGGCCCGCGUCUGAUUAGCUAGUUGGUAGGGUAAUGGCCUACCAAGGCGACGAUCAGUAGCUGGUCUGAGAGGAUGAUCAGCCACAUUGGGACUGAGACACGGCCCAAACUCCUACGGGAGGCAGCAGUGGGGAAUAUUGGACAAUGGGGGCAACCCUGAUCCAGCCAUGCCGCGAGAGUGAUGAAGGCCCUAGGGUUGUAAAGCUCUUUUGUGCGGGAAGAUAAUGACGGUACCGCAAGAAUAAGCCCCGGCUAACUUCGUG
Molecule: ribosomal RNA, 455 nt
Filed under: uncultured bacterium
Lineage: Bacteria
Description: bacterial SSU rRNA
Rfam family: Bacterial small subunit ribosomal RNA
Source: RNAcentral